CGCGGCCUAUCAGCUUGUUGGUGAGGUAACGGCCCACCAAGGCGACGACGGGUAGCUGGUCUGAGAGGACGGCCAGCCACACUGGGACUGAGACACGGCCCAGACUCCUGCGGGAGGCAGCAGUGGGGAAUCUUGCGCUAAUGCGCGAAAGCGUGACGCAGCGACGCCGCGUGGGGGAUGAAGGCCUUCGGGUCGUAAACCCCUUUCGCCAGGGAAGAAGGGAAACUGACGGUACCUGGAGAAGAAGUCCCGGCUAACUACGUGCCAGCAGCCGCGGUAACACGUAGGGGACGAGCGUUGUCCGGAUUUAUUGGGCGUAAAGCGCGCGUAGGCGGCCCGGAAAGUCGGUUGUGAAAACCCGGGGCUCAACCCCGGGCCUGCAUCCGAAACUUCCGGGCUGGAGGUAGGUAGGGGAGAUCGGAAUUCCUGGUGUAGCGGCGAAAUGCGCAGAUAUCAGGAGGAACACCGGUGGCGAAGGCGGAUCUCUGGGCCUUACCUGACGCUGAGGCGCGAAAGCUAGGGGAGCGAACAGGAUUAGAUACCCUGGUAGUCCUAGCCGUAAACGUUGGGUGCUAGGUGUGGGUGGACAUCGACCCCAUCCGUGCCGAAGCUAACGCAUUAAGCACCCCGCCUGGGGAGUACGG
Molecule: ribosomal RNA, 644 nt
Filed under: uncultured Actinomycetes bacterium
Lineage: Bacteria; Bacillati; Actinomycetota; Actinomycetes
Description: bacterial SSU rRNA
Rfam family: Bacterial small subunit ribosomal RNA
Source: RNAcentral